Molecule: ribosomal RNA, 1984 nt
Filed under: human gut metagenome
Description: bacterial LSU rRNA
Rfam family: Bacterial large subunit ribosomal RNA
Source: RNAcentral
UUAAGAUACUAAGAGCAUACGGUGGAUGCCUUGGCGAUAUCUGCCGACGAAGGACGUGACAAGCUGCGAAAAGCUGCGGAGAGAUGCAAAUAAUCGGCGACCCGCAGACAUCCGAAUGGAGAAAUCCGGCUGUGAUGAUGCACAGCCAUCCAUGCCCAAGAGCAUGAGAAGGGAACCGGGCGAACUGAAACAUCUAAGUAACCCGAGGAAAAGAAAUCAAACGAGAUACCCCAAGUAGCGGCGAGCGAACAGGGAAGAAGCCCAAACCGGUGAAGGAAACUUUGCCGGGGUUGAGGACCAUCAGACCCGCGAAGAACCUUAGCCGAAACUGUUGGGAAACAGUGCCAAAGACAGUGAAAGCCUGGUAGGCGAAAAAGAGAAACGCGGAGAUGGCACCAGAGUACCGCGGGACACGAGAAAUCCCGUGGGAAACAGGGGGGACCACCCUCCAAGGCAAAACACAGAUAUCGACCGAUAGCGCAUAGUACCAUGAGGGAAAGGUGAAAAGCACCCCGGGAGGGGAAUGAAAGAGAACCUGAAACCGUAUGUUUACAAGCAGUCGGAGACCGCUUAAUAAUAAGGUCGACGGCGUGCCUAUUGAAGAAUGAACCGGCGAGUUACGAAGCCUGGCAAGGUUAAGCAGGAAAUGCGGAGCCGAAGCGAAAGCGAGUCUUAAGAGGGCGCAAGUCAGGAAGCGUAGACCCGAAACCACAGUGAUCUACCCAUGUCCAGGUUGAAACACAGGUAAAAAUGUGUGGAGGACCGAACCUAUAUCCGUUGAAAAGGGUUAGGAUGAGGUGUGGGUAGGGGUGAAAUUCCAAUCGAACGUGGAGAUAGCUGGUUCUCCCCGAAAUAGCUUUAGGGCUAGCCUCAGGGAAAAGAUUGCAGGCGGUAGAGCACUGAUCAGGAGAGGGACCUACCCGGUUACCAAACCCAGUCAAACUCCGAAUGGCUGCAAUCAUACCUGGGAGUCAGACUGCGACUAAUAAGGGCCGCAGUCAAAAGGGAAACAGCCCAGACCAUCAGCUAAGGUCCCCAAUGCCGUGCUAAGUGGCGAAGGAUGUGGCAUUUCAUAAACAACCAGGAUGUUGGCUCAGAAGCAGCCACCAUUUAAAGAGUGCGUAAUAGCUCACUGGUCGAGAGACGCUGCGCCGAAAAUGUCCGGGGCUCAAGCACGGAACCGAAGCUAUGGCAUGAUAGCAAUAUCAUGGGUAGGGGAGCGUUCUUAUAAGGAAGAAGCAUGACCGGAAGGACAUGUGGACAAAUAAGAAGUGAGAAUGCCGGUAUGAGUAUCGAAAAGAAAGGUGAGAAUCCUUUCCACCGAAAGCCCGAGGGUUCCUGAGCAACGAUCGUCGACUCAGGGUAAGUCGGGACCUAAGCCGAGGCGAGAAGCGUAGGCGAUGGACAACAGGUUGAAAUUCCUGUACCGGAUCAAGUCGAUCGAGCGAAGGAGCGACGCAGGAGGGCACAUGAUCGCGCGGGUGGAAGAGCGCGUCCAAGUGCGUAUGUUGCUGCAGAGGAAAACCCCUGCAGCUAAAAGCAGAGACAUGAUGGGGAGUUAAUGGGAACUUUGACGAACUCAUGAAUCCCACACUGCCAAGAAAAACUUCUAGCGAGACAAGAUCCGCCCGUACCGUAAACCGACACAGGUAGGCGGGGAGAGAAUCCUAAGGUGCGCGGGAAAACCCUCGUUAAGGAACUCGGCAAAUUGCAUCCGUAACCUAGGGAGAAGGAUGGCCCCCGGUCAGUGAAGAGCAGAAACGCUCAGAGCUAAAAGGGGCGGCAGAAAAGAGGCCCAAGCAACUGUUUACCAAAAACACAGGUGCCUGCGAAAGCGAAAGCUGAAGUAUAGGUGCUGACGCCUGCCCGGUGCCGGAAGGUUAAGGAGAGAAGUUAGCGAAAGCGAAGCAUCGAACUGAAGCCCCGGUGAACGGCGGCCGUAACUAUAACGGUCCUAAGGUAGCGAAAUUCCUUGUCGGGUAAG